AUGGUAGGGCCUUUUACAAGUUAAAUAGGUUGAAUUGACACCAAAAUUUGAACAAGUUCCUCUAGGUUCUAACAUGAUGGCAAUAGCAAAGGAGAGACAUUACUUGUUAGUUGAUGUGAUGUAUUAUUCAGGAACCAGAACCAGCCUUACUGUUGUCAUUUCAUAGAUUCUAUAAUUUCAGAAUAUUAUUAUUUACCAGAGUUUUAGACGUGCAUAACUGGUUGAUUAGUCCCUGAAUAAAAAUUUGCAAACAUGGUGUACUGAGGUUUUAUUUAUAUCAAUGUGCCAGGUCAAUAUGGAAUGCCCCUUGGAGAUUAAUAGAUUGUUUGGAAAGUGGAGGUGCUCAUCUUUUAGAAAUCAUGAGUGUCCUUUUAAACGAAAAUUGGACUUUUUAAUUUUGAGAAAAUUAAUAUAUUAUGGCAUAAAAGUAUUCUUUUAGAAAUUCAAGAUGGGAGAAAAUUUAGAGGCAAGAAU
This 474-nucleotide unclassified non-coding RNA is filed under the name Hevea brasiliensis (rubber tree). The record is from RNAcentral. Lineage: Eukaryota; Viridiplantae; Streptophyta; Magnoliopsida; Malpighiales; Euphorbiaceae.